This 510-nucleotide ribosomal RNA is filed under the name uncultured bacterium. RNAcentral describes it as "bacterial SSU rRNA". It matches the Rfam family "Bacterial small subunit ribosomal RNA", at positions 29 to 490 of the family's 1533-position model. The record is from RNAcentral.
AUUGAACGCUGGCGGCAUGCUUUACACAUGCAAGUCGAACGGCAGCACAGCAGAGGUAACUCUGUGGGUGGCGAGUGGCGAACGGGUGAGUAAUACAUCGGAACGUACCCUGUUGUGGGGGAUAACUACGCGAAAGCGUAGCUAAUACCGCAUACGCCCUGAGGGGGAAAGCGGGGGACCCUAAAUAGAGCGCACUGGGGAGUGCGUUGUAUUUAGGGCCUCGCGCAAUAGGAGCGGCCGAUGUCGGAUUAGCUAGUUGGUGAGGUAAAGGCUUACCAAGGCGACGAUCCGUAGCUGGUCUGAGAGGAUGAUCAGCCACACUGGGACUGAGACACGGCCCAGACUCCUACGGGAGGCAGCAGUAGGGAAUAUUGGACAAUGGGCGCAAGCCUGAUCCAGCCAUGCCGCGUGAGUGAAGAAGGCCCUCGGGUUGUAAAGGCUCUUUUGUCCGGAAAGAAAAGCGCCGGGGUUAAAUACCCUGGGUGUCCGUGACGGUACCGGAAGAAUAAG